Molecule: ribosomal RNA, 496 nt
Filed under: uncultured Glomeromycotina
Lineage: Eukaryota; Fungi; Glomeromycota
Description: partial small subunit ribosomal RNA
Rfam family: Eukaryotic small subunit ribosomal RNA
Source: RNAcentral
CCAAUAGCGUAUAUUAAAGUUGUUGCAGUUAAAAAGCUCGUAGUUGAAUUUCGGGAUCAGUAUGUUGGUCGUGCUUCGGUACGUACUGUCAUUACUGGUUUCUACCUUCUGAAGAACCAUGAUGUCAUUAAUUUGGUGUCAUGGGGAAUCAGGACUGUUACUUUGAAAAAAUUAGAGUGUUUAAAGCAGGCUCGCGCUUGAAUACAUUAGCAUGGAAUAAUGAAAUAGGACGUUUGAUUCUAUUUUGUUGGUUUCUAGGAUCGACGUAAUGAUUAAUAGGGAUAGUUGGGGGCAUUAGUAUUCAAUUGUCAGAGGUGAAAUUCUUGGAUUUAUUGAAGACUAACUACUGCGAAAGCAUUUGCCAAGGAUGUUUUCAUUAAUCAAGAACGAAAGUUAGGGGAUCGAAGACGAUCAGAUACCGUCGUAGUCUUAACCAUAAACUAUGCCGACUAGGGAUCGGAUGAUGUUAUUUUUAAUAACUCAUUCGGCGCCUUAC